AAUUUUAUAGCGGUUACAUUUGUAGGUGUAUGUUUUCACCCCGCUAAGCGAUGCGAAAUGUCUAUUAAGUAUACUAGUAGUUAUCCAACCUUAUCACCUGAGACCAUGGAAAAGACGGUUUAAUUGUACCUUUUCUUCCAAAUCUGGGAUAUAUGCGUAAUUAUAUAAGGGAAAUUCGUACUUUUGCUGACAACAGUGGUGCUCAAUUUUAUCAUAAGAAAUAAGA
This is a non-coding RNA of Cinara cedri, 226 nucleotides long. NCBI's taxonomy places the organism in Eukaryota, Metazoa, Arthropoda, Insecta, Hemiptera, Aphididae. The record is from the annotation of a GenBank genome assembly.